CGAACACUCUUUACUGCUACACGAUACUUUUUCCACGAGAUAGAAAAUGACUAGAUCUACCAUGUCUGUUGUUUACCUCAUUCUAGUCCUUGGCUUGUUCUCUUGUGCAAAUGGUGAAUGUUGGACAUCCGAUUGUACAGAUGAAAUAAAACCAGUCUGUGGGAGUGAUGACAGGACCUACCUCAAUG
Molecule: long non-coding RNA, 188 nt
Organism: Physella acuta
Lineage: Eukaryota; Metazoa; Mollusca; Gastropoda; Physidae
Source: RefSeq, a predicted model, not a curated record